Molecule: transfer RNA, 74 nt
Filed under: Anaerolineae bacterium
Lineage: Bacteria; Bacillati; Chloroflexota; Anaerolineae
Description: tRNA-Arg
Rfam family: tRNA
About the family: Transfer RNA (tRNA) molecules are approximately 80 nucleotides in length. Their secondary structure includes four short double-helical elements and three loops (D, anti-codon, and T loops).
Source: RNAcentral
GCGCCUGUAGCUCAGUGGACAGAGCCGCAGACUUCGAAUCUGUGAGAGCGGGGGUUCGAAUCCCUCCAGGCGCG